ACACGUAGGGGGCAAGCGUUGUCCGGAAUUAUUGGGCGUAAAGCGCGCGCAGGCGGCCAAUUAAGUCUAGUGUUUAAGCCCGGGGCUCAACCCCGGUUCGCACCGGAAACUGGUUGGCUUGAGUGCAGGAGAGGGAAGCGGAAUUCCAUGUGUAGCGGUGAAAUGCGUAGAGAUAUGGAGGAACACCAGUGGCGAAGGCGGCUUCCUGGCCUGUAACUGACGCUGAGGCGCGAAAGCGUGGUGAGCAAACAGGAUUAGAUACCCUGGUAGUCCACGCCGUAAACGAUGAGUGCUAGGUGUCAGGGGUUUCGAUACCCUUGGUGCCGAAGUCAACACAGUAAGCACUCCGCCUGGGGAGUACGGUCGCAAGACUGAA
Molecule: ribosomal RNA, 376 nt
Filed under: uncultured bacterium
Lineage: Bacteria
Description: bacterial SSU rRNA
Rfam family: Bacterial small subunit ribosomal RNA
Source: RNAcentral